CGGGAUGUAGCGCAGCCCGGUAGCGCGCUUCGUUCGGGACGAAGAGGUCGGCAGUUCGAAUCUGCCCAUCCCGA
RNAcentral lists this transfer RNA (74 nucleotides) under Anaerolineae bacterium. RNAcentral describes it as "tRNA-Pro". It matches the Rfam family "tRNA". From Rfam's summary of the family: Transfer RNA (tRNA) molecules are approximately 80 nucleotides in length. Their secondary structure includes four short double-helical elements and three loops (D, anti-codon, and T loops). RNAcentral also lists the same sequence under 1 other name. The record is from RNAcentral. Lineage: Bacteria; Bacillati; Chloroflexota; Anaerolineae.